CUAAGUGCUCUUUUUAGAUAAAUUAACUGAACUAUGAUGAUGCAUGAUAUUGUUUGCUAUCUUAUCUAAUUUUCAAAGUAUGUGCAUUAUUAUAUUACGUUAUGUUGAUUUGUUUUAUAUUCGUUGAAUCUGGUUGUUGUGUCGAGGUAAAUAUAAAUAACCCACUUAUAUUUCUGCCUUCGUCUCUAAAUCUAAAUCUGCUAGUGAACCGCUCCCUGUGAAUGAUGAGAAUUCCUUUUG
Molecule: long non-coding RNA, 240 nt
Filed under: Carica papaya (papaya)
Lineage: Eukaryota; Viridiplantae; Streptophyta; Magnoliopsida; Brassicales; Caricaceae
Description: long non-coding RNA (CPAP_LNC010217)
Source: RNAcentral